Sarcophilus harrisii (Tasmanian devil) is the source of this 2565-nucleotide long non-coding RNA. RefSeq lists it as uncharacterized. The record is from RefSeq and is a predicted model, not a curated record. NCBI's taxonomy places the organism in Eukaryota, Metazoa, Chordata, Mammalia, Dasyuromorphia, Dasyuridae. The transcript has 6 exons.
CUUUAAUUGAAAAAUACGAAAUUGGACAGUUGAAAAAAAUCAAACUUGCACUUGGUAUUUCAGGGGCUUGCUGGGGCUCAACGAGCCCUCCUGGGAGGAUGCUGUCCACACUGGGAAGCGCCGCACCCAUUUCGGUUGUUAUCAUCAUCACCCUCGGUGCUUCCCGGGCGGCCCGUCCUUCUGGACUUGAGGUGGGAUCUGGAACCGUGAGGGCGCCCCCCCCCCCCCGUUCUCCUGGGCUGGUCCCCUGGGCCCAGCACUCUCUGAAGUCCAUUUUUCUCAUCGCUCUGUCCUGCCUUUCUCACAGCAGCCCAUGAGAACAGCGGCCUCAGGGAGAAACCCAGAGAGGCCUUGGUCAGCCCAGAGAGGCCUUCAUCAGCCCAGAGAGGCUUUUGUCUGUGGCCCUUCCAGGGCCGGUGUGGGGGAGACCAUGGCUGCCUCCCCUGGGAGGCAUGGGCCCCAAACCUCGUGGUUCCCUUGCUAACUCAUUAAUGGGGCCGUCGUCCGUGGAUUUGGCUAAACCUUUUGUGAAACUUUCUAUUUCCAGCCUGGACACAUCUUAAAAUAACGAGUUCCAUCAGUACCCUCCCCCACGUGGGAAGUAGAGCUGCCUUUCAUGGGCCCUAAACGUACCUCCUUCUAGCCCCCGGCAGUGCUGAUCCAGGUUUCCGUGAGUGACUCCAUGUGGCCCCCCGUUCAGCUGGACCCCCCAGCCCAUGACCCAGAACUGGUUCGUUCCCUGGGAAAGCCCAGCCCCCGCCGCCAUCACCCCCAGCCCCCCUGCACCCUCCCCUUCUAAAAUGACAAAACAGCAGUAUGCCAGACUCGGGAGACCACCCUAAACCCAUUGGAUGACAAGCAUCGGGGCCCCCAAAAAGGCCAGAGCCCUGAGCGACACCUGAGCAGAAGAAAUUCAAUAGGGGCGAGUGCCAAAUGACAUCCCAGAGGACCACGGCCUCGGGGGAGCCUGUGACGGAGCCGGACUGCAGUGAGAGAGGGGUCCUUUCUCCUGCAGAGCUGCCUGGGUACAGUGGUCAGGGAGAGGUCCAGACAGGAGAUGCCUCCAGAUGUCACGGGAGUGUGCAGAAAAGGCUGCUCUCUCUGACUCGAGGGCUCUUGUGUGGAAGAGGGCGCCGGGAGGCAGAAUUUGUAGCAGUCGGGGAGAUACCAAGGGGCAACUCGGGACCCCAUUCGGAAGGAAGCAUGUGCUGACGGGAAGGGCCGUCCCAGAGCAGGAAGGGCAGCCUCCCCGUCCUCCUUGGAGGCCUUCGGGCAGAGGCCGGACAGCCACUUGUCCCAUCCUGCUUCGGAGUGACUCGAGGUGAUGCUGACGUUCAGUGUGAGCAUUCCCACCUCAGAAAAGUGGCAAACGCCUAACGGGGCCUGAACUGAUUGUUUUAUUAGUUGCCCAGUCUGAAGAAAGUGACGAAGAAAUGUCAAUAAAGCAAAUUAGGUUUAAAAACACCUUUUCGGAUAGCUGAUGAUUCCACAUUGACGAGCUGAUCCAGAUCAGCAUCCCGUUAGAGCGGAUAUAACCACCCCCCCCAGGUCAACGGCAGCCCUCCACACACUUACUCAUAGACAAUCACUGUGAGUUGCUGAGACCAAAGGAAAAACAUCCAGUGGUGAAGGAGGGGCCACGAAACAGUCCCACAGUGACACGGCCAUGUCAGGGUAACCUGAAGGACAGGCGCUCUCACCUUAGACUUCCCAUCGCUCCAAACUCAGCCACCCAGAUGACCUUUAAUUUGGAAAUCGUCCCCUUUGAUCACUUAUUGAGCAACUGCUAAGGACCAGGCAGGAAGAAUGGGAAGAAAAAAGAGAGAAUACACUUUCCUCUGCAUUCAAAGUCCCUUGGCUCGAUAUCUGGUGGCGAGUCCCGGGUUUCAUCAUGAGUCCCCUGGAAUGGUAAUUGGUCGGUUUUACAUGGACCUUCAUUUUUAACAUAUUUCCCUAUGAGUCGUGUUGUGAAAGAAAAAGCAGAACAAACGGGAAGGAAACCAAACCAGGUGAUCCCCAUUCGAUCUUCGGCGCUCGCUCCCUGCAUGCGGAUGCCCUUUUCCCUUCCAAGUCUGUUGGAAUUGUCUUGGAUCGCCGGAUUGCUGAGAAGAGCCAAGUCUUUCCUAGUUGCUCAUCACCGUGUUGCUGUUGCUGUGUACGACGUUCUCCUGGUUCCGCUCCCUUCCCUCAGCAUCAGUUCUAAGUCUUUCCAGGCUUUUUUGAAAUCGGCCUGCUCAUCUUUUCUCUAGAACAAUAGUAUUUCAUCGCCUUCAUGGACCACAACUCGGUCAGCCAUUGCCCAAUUCUUGGGCAUCCCCUCUGUUCCUUGCCACCACAAACAUUUUUGCCCGUGCGAGUCCUUUUCCCUCUUUAGGAUACAAGUAGAGACACUCCUGCAUCGAAGGAUAUGCAGUUUGAUCAUUCCCAACUCCACCAACAAUGCAUUAGUGUCCCAGUCGCCCCCAUCACUUCUUACAUCACAGUAGUACCUGCCACAACUUGUUCAGCCAUUGCCCAAUUGAUGGGUAUCCCCUCAGUUUCUAAUUCUUUGCCACCAUUUUUUUU